UUUUCCAUGUACUUUGUUGUCUGCUGGUUAGCAUCAAUUUUGAUUGUCAUAAAAAGGUUAAGGGGAUGUGGCUCCUUCGGGAGUGUUAUAACCCUUGGCGGAAUGUGACGAUUGGGAUUGAGGUUUGCAACGAAUACCUUUAGGGCAGUUCCUUCUGGUCUCUUGUUGACGUUCAGAUGGCGACAGCUUGCUGACGUUGUUUGAAUAGUUGGCGAAUAGAUUGGAAUGUGAAUUAAUUCGUUAAGGAUGUUGACGUAA
This 258-nucleotide ribosomal RNA is filed under the name uncultured fungus. Its description in RNAcentral is "partial large subunit ribosomal RNA". Lineage: Eukaryota; Fungi. The record is from RNAcentral.